CCUACGGGGGGCAGCAGUGGGGAAUAUUGGGCAAUGGAGGCAACUCUGACCCAGCAACGCCGCGUGAGUGAUGAAGGUCUUCGGAUUGUAAAGUUCUGUGAUGGGGGAUGAACACAAUGACGGUACCCCAAUAGCAAGCCACGGCUAACUACGUGCCAGCAGCCGCGGUAAUACGUAGGUGGCAAGCGUUAUCCGGAAUGACGGGGCGUAAAGGUGGCGUAGGUGGUUUAGUAAGUCGGCGGUGUAAUUCCGGGGCUCAACCCCGGCGCUACCGCCAAAACUAUUAGACUAGAGUGCAGGAGAGGAAAGGGGAAUUCCUAGUGUAGCGGUGGAAUGCGUAGAUAUUAGGAGGAACAUCAGGGGCGAAGGCGACUAACUGGACUGUAACUGACGCUGAGGCACGAAAGCGUGGGGAGCAAACAGGAUUAGAUACCCUGGUAGUC
RNAcentral lists this ribosomal RNA (443 nucleotides) under uncultured bacterium. RNAcentral's name for it is "partial 16S ribosomal RNA". It matches the Rfam family "Bacterial small subunit ribosomal RNA", at positions 338 to 795 of the family's 1533-position model. The record is from RNAcentral.